Molecule: ribosomal RNA, 497 nt
Filed under: uncultured bacterium
Lineage: Bacteria
Description: partial 16S ribosomal RNA
Rfam family: Bacterial small subunit ribosomal RNA
Source: RNAcentral
GCUUCCCUCUUUCUUCGUGCCUAAUACAUGCAAGUCGAGCGAACGGACGAUAAGCUUUCUUCUCUGAUGUUAGCGGCUGACGGGUGAGUAACACGUGGAUAACCUACCUAUAAGACUGGGAUAACUUCGUGAAACCGGAGCUAAUACCGGAUAAUAUUUUGAACCGCAUGGUUCAAAAGUUAAAGACGGUCUUGCUGUCACUUAUAGAUGGUUCCGCGCUGCAUUAGCUAGUUGGUAAGGUAACGGCUUACCAAGGCAACGAUGCAUAGCCGACCUGAGAGGGUGAUCGGCCACACUGGAACUGAGACACGGUCCAGACUCCUACGGGAGGCAGCAGUAGGGAAUCUUACGCAAUGGGCGAAAGCCUGACGGAGCAACGCCGCGUGAGUGAUGAAGGUCUUCGGAUCGUAAAACUCUGUUAUUAGGGAAGAACAUAUGUGUGAGUAACUGUGCACAUCUUGACGGUACCUAAUCAGAAAGCCACGGCUAACUACGUG